AGAGUUUGAUCAUGGCUCAGAUUGAACGCUGGCGGCACGCCUAACACAUGCAAGUCGAGCGGCAGCAUAGUUUGUAGCAAUACGAGCUGAUGGCGAGCGGCGGACGGGUGAGGAACACGUAGGAACCUGCCCUUAAGAGGGGGACAACCAAGGGAAACUUUGGCUAAUACCGCAUAAACUCGAAAGAGUAAAGGUGCCCG
Molecule: ribosomal RNA, 200 nt
Filed under: uncultured bacterium
Lineage: Bacteria
Description: partial 16S ribosomal RNA
Rfam family: Bacterial small subunit ribosomal RNA
Source: RNAcentral